This is a long non-coding RNA of Conger conger (European conger), 152 nucleotides long. RefSeq lists it as uncharacterized. The transcript is spliced from 5 exons. Lineage: Eukaryota; Metazoa; Chordata; Actinopteri; Anguilliformes; Congridae. The record is from RefSeq and is a predicted model, not a curated record.
CAGGGGCCCCGCUGCCUGAUGUGGGAAAUGGGGUUGUUCAGCCCAGCCUUACUACGGGCCUGGGAGGGGCAGUUGUGGCAGCCCCAACCAGCAUUGGUGUCGGACCAGCUCUGCCCAGUGGUGGUGAGUGUCAAUUUAAGCGUAACCUGAAC